GCUCUCACUCAAAUUUUUACGCCCGGGCCAAGCGUGCUUUCUUGAGGCAGCUCCGUGUUUCUAUCCGUAAAAAUUAGGAAAAUGGUGAAAAAUCCAACGGGAAAAAUGUCGUGCAGGCGUGUGAUGUAAUGUUUAGUGUAGUACUGCAGCGAUUGCACACAAAAAAUUGUCGAAUAGAACGUGGGAGAGAGAGCAAUUAGGAAGAGGAGAAGGAGAUCAAAGAAUGAACGCAUUUGCACCGCUCUCACUCAAAUUUUUUCACCCGGGCCAAGCGGGCGUCGGCCAGCCAGCUCCGCGUUUUAAUCCAUGAAAAUCCGGAAAAUGGUGAAAAAUCCAACGGGAAAAAUGUCGCGCAGGUGUGGGAUGUAAAGUUUAGAGUAGUGCAGCAGCGAUUACACACAAAAAAGUAUGUUUUACUACAAGAAAAUGUGUUGAGAAAAAAGCGGGGGCGCAAAAGAGUUAAAAUGGCGGCAUCGUUGCAGCUCGACGAAGGAAAAGUGCGGCAAUUCGUGAUAAAUCCAUAUAAAUUUGAUAUAUAAAGCGAAAAGCAUGUUGUUUUUGCAUAAUUUUCUUUUUUUCAUGUGUAAAAAUCUAAAAGGUCUUGUUCCGUUGUCUCGCCUUUUUUUCGUUUGGGUUCCAGCAAUGUGUAGGGCUUGAAAAGUCAAGUUUGUCCCUUUCCCACUCCCAUUACUCGAGAAAUCUUCAAAUUAAUACCUUUUCUAUGCUGAUGAUCUCAUCACUGCACUGACCAUCUCCCCCCCGCCCCUUUCUAGAGCAUAAGCUCAAGCAACUACACACACACGCAUUGCAAAAGCAAAGACACUCUCAACUUUUCGCCUCUGCUUCAGUUCAUUGCACUCUCACCAACUGCAGUGGGAAGAGAGGAUCAAAGACAAAAAAUCUUCAAAUUAGUAGACUUAUUCUAUGCUGAUGAUCUCAUCGAUGCACUGCCCAUCUCCCCCCGCCACUUUAUAGAGCAUAAGCUCAAGCUUAAACACACACUCAAUCAAAGAUAAAAAAAACUUUUGUGCCCAUCUCCCACCCACCCUUCAAGAGCAGAAGCUUUAACACAAGCACGCAUUGCAAAAGCAAAGACACUCUCAACUUUUCGCCUCUGCUUCAGUUCUUUGCGCUCUCACCAAAUGCAUUGGGAAGAGAGGGUCAUGAGCAUAAACUCAAGCAACUACACACGCACACAAAUUGCAAAAGCAAAACGAGAGAGCUUAAAUGCUCUCACCGAUUACGGUUCGUUCACCUACAAAUGACCGAAUGCUUUGUCAAAUUUGAGCUCCCAGCGCAGACGCACGUUUUUCCGUGCCGUGGAGUAAAAAAAUCUUGAAAAAUAUUGGAAAAUGAUCGGAAAUUAUAUAAAAACCCGCGUGAUAAGUGUAGCAAGUGUUUAUAAUAAAAAUGCGCCAGAAAAGUCUUGUAACAAGUCGGAAAAUUAUUGUGAAAAGCCGAAAAAGUGAUGAAAAAUGGUCGAAAAUGCAGGAAAAUGCAAUCCCAUGUGUGUGAAGAGCCAAAGGUUUGGGAAUAAUUGAACAAAAAGAUCGCAGCAAGUGUGAAAACCGCGCCAGACAAAAUUGAGCGAAUUGCUUGGCACCAGGUCAUGAAGUCAACUUUCAGCUCGAGUUUUUUCCCUUUCUUUUGUUGCUUUUUUUUUUGUGCGAGAGUUGGAGCGAAGCAGGAUGGUCAUCAAGACGGCAAGGAGUGCAAGCGGCAAGCAGUGUAAAGCGGAAAGCAGAGCAAGGCGAUAUUGGCAAAAAGUGAGUGAAAGUGUCAGUGAAAACCGUACAAAAAUAAAUGUACCGCAGGAACUAUAUAAAAAAAAAUAUUGAGCGCAAUGCGUGGAAGUAAACAAUUAGUAUUUUUUUUUCUGUGAGUGCUAGAUGGUCAACAAGACGGCAAGGAGUUCAUAGAAGCGAACAGUGCAAGGCAGCAAGCAGUUAAAGGCGAAAUUGGCGAAAAGUGAGUGAAAGUGCAGGAUGGUCAUCAAGACGGCAAGGGGUGCAAUGCGGCAAGCAGUGCAAGGCGAUAUUGGCAAAAAGUUAGUGAAAGUGUCAGUAAAAACCGUACAAAAAUAAAUGUACCGCAGGAACUAUAUAAAAAAAAAUAUUGAGCGCAAUGCGUGGAAGUAAACAAUUAGUAUUUUUUUUUCUGUGAGUGCUAGAUGGUCAACAAGACGGCAAGGAGUUCAUAGAAGCGAACAGUGCAAGGCAGCAAGCAGUUAAAGGCGAAAUUGGCGAAAAGUGAGUGAAAGUGCAGGAUGGUCAUCAAGACGGCAAGGGGUGCAAUGCGGCAAGCAGUGCAAGGCGAUAUUGGCAAAAAGUGAGUGAAAGUGUCAGUAAAAACCGUACAAAAAUAAAUGUACCGCAGGAACUAUAUAAAAAAAAAUAUUGAGCGCAAUGCGUGGAAGUAAACAAUUAGUAUUUUUUUUCUGUGAGUGCUAGAUGGUCAACAAGACGGCAAGGAGUUCAUAGAAGCGAACAGUGCAAGGCAGCAAGCAGUUAAAGGCGAAAUUGGCGAAAAGUGAGUGAAAGUGCAGGAUGGUCAUCAAGACGGCAAGGGGUGCCAGGCGGCAAGCAGUGUAAGGCGGAAAGCAGAGCAAGGCGAUAUUGGCAAAAAGUGAGUGAAUGUGUGAGUGAAAACCAUAAAAAAAAUAAAUGUACCGCAGGAACUAUAUAAAAAAAAAUAUUGAGCGCAAUGCGUGGAAGUAAACAAUUAGUAUUUUUUUUCUGUGAGUGCUAGAUGGUCAACAAGACGGCAAGGAGUUCAUAGAAGCGAACAGUGCAAGGCAGCAAGCAGUUAAAGGCGAAAUUGGCGAAAAGUGAGUGAAAGUGCAGGAUGGUCAUCAAGACGGCAAGGGGUGCAAUGCGGCAAGCAGCGCAAGGCGAUAUUGGCAAAAAGUGAGUGAAAGUGUCAGUAAAAACCGUACAAAAAUAAAUGUACCGCAGGAACUAUAUAAAAAAAAAUAUUGAGCGCAAUGCGUGGAAGUAAACAAUUAGUAUUUUUUUUCUGUGAGUGCUAGAUGGUCAUCAAGACGGCAAGGGGUGCCAGGCGGCAAGCAGUGUAAGGCGGCAAGCAGAGCAAGGCGAUAUUGGCAAAAAGUGAGUGAAUGUGUGAGUGAAAACCAUAAAAAAAAUAAAUGUACCGCAGGAACUAUAUAAAAAAAAAUAUUGAGCGCAAUGCGUGGAAGUAAACAAUUAGUAUUUUUUUUCUGUGAGUGCUAGAUGGUCAUCAAGACGGCAAGGAGUUCAUAGAAGCGAACAGUGCAAGGCAGCAAGCAGUUAAAGGCGAAAUUGGCGAAAAGUGAGUGAAAGUGCAGGAUGGUCAUCAAGACGGCAAGGGGUGGCAGGCGGCAAGCUGUGCAAGGCGAUAUGGGCGAAUAGUGAGUGAAAGUGGAGGAUGGUCAUCAAGACGGCAAGGGGUGCCAGGCGGCAAGCAGUGUAAGGCGGAAAGCAGAGCAAGGCGAUAUUGGCAAAAAGUGAGUGAAUGUGUGAGUGAAAACCAUAAAAAAAAUAAAUGUACCGCAGGAACUAUAUAAAAAAAAAUAUUGAGCGCAAUGCGUGGAAGUAAACAAUUAGUAUUUUUUUUCUGUGAGUGCUAGAUGGUCAACAAGACGGCAAGGAGUUCAUAGAAGCGAACAGUGCAAGGCAGCAAGCAGUUAAAGGCGAAAUUGGCGAAAAGUGAGUGAAAGUGCUGGAUGGUCAUCAAGACGGCAAGGGGUGCAAUGCGGCAAGCAGUGCAAGGCGAUAUUGGCAAAAAGUGAGUGAAAGUGUCAGUAAAAACCGUACAAAAAUAAAUGUACCGCAGGAACUAUAUAAAAAAAAAUAUUGAGCGCAAUGCGUGGAAGUAAACAAUUAGUAUUUUGUUUUCUGUGAGUGCUAGAUGGUCAUCAAGACGGCAAGGAGUGCAAGCGGCAAGCAGUGCAGGGCGAUAAUGGCGAAUAGUGAGUGAAAGUGCGUGAGUGAAAAGAAGAACGACAAAAUGUACCGCAAAAACUAAACAAAAAAGAGCGACAAGCAGUACAAAACUAUAAGUGAGUAAAACUGCGAGUGGAAAUAAGAACAAUGGAAUACACAGAAAUGAAUAAGGACCGGCAAGCAGUACAAGCCGAGAAGAGCAACGAGAGUUGUGUCGAUUUAAAUGAAAGACUUAUCUGCAGAGCACUCAACAGUCCAAUCUUAUGCUAAUUUAAUGGAAAUUCAAAUCCCUGCGGAGAGAGAGGUAAGCACUUUAUUAACAAACUACUAAAAACUACAAAACCGAGACGCCGCUUAAGAUAUCGCGUUACAUAAACCCCUGGGCACCCCCCCCGAAAGGCAAAUUAGUUGAAGAAACCCCCAGAAAUGGGAAACGAAAACGGAGAUGAUGGAGCGG
This is a long non-coding RNA of Drosophila miranda, 4380 nucleotides long. RefSeq lists it as uncharacterized. The transcript is spliced from 4 exons. Lineage: Eukaryota; Metazoa; Arthropoda; Insecta; Diptera; Drosophilidae. The record is from RefSeq and is a predicted model, not a curated record.